RNAcentral lists this ribosomal RNA (1436 nucleotides) under uncultured bacterium. Its description in RNAcentral is "bacterial SSU rRNA". It matches the Rfam family "Bacterial small subunit ribosomal RNA". The record is from RNAcentral.
GCUUAACACAUGCAAGUCGAGGGGCAGCAUGGUCUUAGCUUGCUAAGGCCGAUGGCGACCGGCGCACGGGUGAGUAACACGUAUCCAACCUGCCGUCUACUCUUGGACAGCCUUCUGAAAGGAAGAUUAAUACAAGAUGGCAUCAUGAGUCCGCAUGUUCACAUGAUUAAAGGUAUUCCGGUAGACGAUGGGGAUGCGUUCCAUUAGAUAGUAGGCGGGGUAACGGCCCACCUAGUCUUCGAUGGAUAGGGGUUCUGAGAGGAAGGUCCCCCACAUUGGAACUGAGACACGGUCCAAACUCCUACGGGAGGCAGCAGUGAGGAAUAUUGGUCAAUGGGCGAGAGCCUGAACCAGCCAAGUAGCGUGAAGGAUGACUGCCCUAUGGGUUGUAAACUUCUUUUAUAAAGGAGUAAAGUCGGGUAUGGAUACCCGUUUGCAUGUACUUUAUGAAUAAGGAUCGGCUAACUCCGUGCCAGCAGCCGCGGUAAUACGGAGGAUCCGAGCGUUAUCCGGAUUUAUUGGGUUUAAAGGGAGCGUAGAUGGAUGUUUAAGUCAGUUGUGAAAGUUUGCGGCUCAACCGUAAAAUUGCAGUUGAUACUGGAUAUCUUGAGUGCAGUUGAGGCAGGCGGAAUUCGUGGUGUAGCGGUGAAAUGCUUAGAUAUCACGAAGAACUCCGAUUGCGAAGGCAGCCUGCUAAGCUGCAACUGACAUUGAGGCUCGAAAGUGUGGGUAUCAAACGGGAUUAGAUACCCUGGUAGUCCACACGGUAAACGAUGAAUACUCGCUGUUUGCGAUAUACUGCAAGCGGCCAAGCGAAAGCGUUAAGUAUUCCACCUGGGGAGUACGCCGGCAACGGUGAAACUCAAAGGAAUUGACGGGGGCCCGCACAAGCGGAGGAACAUGUGGUUUAAUUCGAUGAUACGCGAGGAACCUUAUCCGGGCUUAAAUUGCAGAUGAAUUACGGUGAAAGCCGUAAGCCGCAAGGCAUCUGUGAAGGUGCUGCAUGGUUGUCGUCAGCUCGUGCCGUGAGGUGUCGGCUUAAGUGCCAUAACGAGCGCAACCCUUGUUGUCAGUUACUAACAGGUUCCGCUGAGGACUCUGACAAGACUGCCAUCGUAAGAUGUGAGGAAGGUGGGGAUGACGUCAAAUCAGCACGGCCCUUACGUCCGGGGCUACACACGUGUUACAAUGGGGGGUACAGAGGGCCGCUACCACGCGAGUGGAUGCCAAUCCCCAAAACCUCUCUCAGUUCGGACUGGAGUCUGCAACCCGACUCCACGAAGCUGGAUUCGCUAGUAAUCGCGCAUCAGCCACGGCGCGGUGAAUACGUUCCCGGGCCUUGUACACACCGCCCGUCAAGCCAUGGGAGCCGGGGGUACCUGAAGUGCGUAACCGCGAGGAGCGCCCUAGGGUAAAACUGGUGACUGGGGCUAAGU